RNAcentral lists this unclassified non-coding RNA (181 nucleotides) under Lepidocyrtus cyaneus. RNAcentral's name for it is "sequence contains ITS2". Lineage: Eukaryota; Metazoa; Arthropoda; Collembola; Entomobryomorpha; Entomobryidae. The record is from RNAcentral.
UGCACAUUUUGAAUGAAGUUGCUACUUAAUUGGGGUAAUAAUGUUGUUGGGUCACUGACUUCGUCAAGUUGGGCAACUUGAUUAGAUUUYUGAAGCAUUGUAUYUGUUGUUGUUACGAUUGCAAGUCCUAAUUUUUUUUUGAAAAAAAUACUGAUUGGAAGAGAGGAUUUUUGCUUGAUUG